CCUACGGGAGGCAGCAGUGGGGAAUCUUGCGCAAUGGGCGAAAGCCUGACGCAGCAACGCCGCGUGCGGGAAGAAGGCUUUCGGGCUGUAAACCGCUUUCAGCAGGAACGAAAAUGACGGUACCUGCAGAAGAAGGAGCGGCCAACUAUGUGCCAGCAGCCGCGGUGAUACAUAGGCUUCAAGCGUUGUCCGGAUUUAUUGGGCGUAAAGAGUUCGUAGGCGGUCGAGUAAGUCGGGUGUGAAAAUUCUGGGCUCAACCCAGAGACGCCACCCGAUACUGCUUGACUUGAGUUCGAUAGGGGAGUGGGGAAUUCCUAGUGUAGCGGCGAAAUGCGCAGAUAUUAGGAGGAACACCGGUGGCGAAGGCGCCACUCUGGAUCGAUACUGACGCUGAGGAACGAAAGCAUGGGUAGCAAACAGGAUUAGAUACCCUGGUAGUCCAUGCCGUAAACGGUGGGCACUAGGUGUGGGUUUCUAUUAACGAAAUCCGCGCCGUCGCUAACGCAUUAAGUGCCCCGCUGGGGAGUACGGUGCAAGACUAGAACUCAAAGGAAUUGACGGCUGAGACGNGCGACGACGACGACGAGGAGAG
This 592-nucleotide ribosomal RNA is filed under the name uncultured bacterium. RNAcentral describes it as "bacterial SSU rRNA". It matches the Rfam family "Bacterial small subunit ribosomal RNA", at positions 338 to 960 of the family's 1533-position model. The record is from RNAcentral.